CGAAAGCGACGUUCAACCGCAAAAGAAGCAGAGGGGGCUUAGUGGUGGGGUGACUGCGUACCUUUUGUAUAAUGGGUCAGCGACUUAUAUUCUGUAGCAAGGUUAACCGUAUAGGGGAGCCGGAGGGAAACCGAGUCUUAAUUGGGCGUUAAGUUGCAGGGUAUAGACCCGAAACCCGGUGAUCUAGCCAUGGGCAGGUUGAAGGUUGGGUAACACUAACUGGAGGACCGAACCGACUAAUGUUGAAAAAUUAGCGGAUGACCUGUGGCUGGGGGUGAAAGGCCAAUCAAACCGGGAGAUAGCUGGUUCUCCCCGAAAGCUAUUUAGGUAGCGCCUCGUGAAUUCAUCUCCGGGGGUAGAGCACUGUUUCGGCUAGGGGGCCAUCCCGGCUUACCAACCCGAUGCAAACUGCGAAUACCGGAGAAUGUUAUCACGGGAGACACACGGCGGGUGCUAACGUCCGUCGUGAAGAGGGAAACAACCCAGACCGCCAGCUAAGGUCCCAAAGUCAUGGUUAAGUGGGAAACGAUGUGGGAAGGCCCAGACAGCCAGGAUGUUGGCUUAGAAGCAGCCAUCAUUUAAAGAAAGCGUAAUAGCUCACUGGUCGAGUCGGCCUGCGCGGAAGAUGUAACGGGGCUAAACCAUGCACCGAAGCUGCGGCAGCGAACGUAUCACCCAAGACAACUUUACGGAGUUGACGAUUGACGGAGCGAAGCGACGUCAAAGCGUUCAUUAAAGUCGAGUUGGCUUAGGGAUACGUUCGUUGGGUAGGGGAGCGUUCUGUAAGCCUGUGAAGGUGGCCUGUGAGGGUUGCUGGAGGUAUCAGAAGUGCGAAUGCUGACAUAAGUAACGAUAAAGCGGGUGAAAAGCCCGCUCGCCGGAAGACCAAGGGUUCCUGUCCAACGUUAAUCGGGGCAGGGUGAGUCGACCCCUAAGGCGAGGCCGAAAGGCGUAGUCGAUGGGAAACGGGUUAAUAUUCCCGUACUUGGUGUUACUGCGAAGGGGGGACGGAGAAGGCUAUGUUGGCCGGGCGACGGUUGUCCCGGUUUAAGCGUGUAGGUGUGUGUUCCAGGUAAAUCCGGUUCACUUUAACACUGAGGCGUGAUGACGAGGCACUACGGUGCUGAAGCAACAAAUGCCCUGCUUCCAGGAAAAGCCUCUAAGCAUCAGGUAACAUCAAAUCGUACCCCAAACCGACACAGGUGGUCAGGUAGAGAAUACCAAGGCGCUUGAGAGAACUCGGGUGAAGGAACUAGGCAAAAUGGUGCCGUAACUUCGGGAGAAGGCACGCUGACACGUAGGUGAAGUGAUUUACUCAUGGAGCUGAAGUCAGUCGAAGAUACCAGCUGGCUGCAACUGUUUAUUAAAAACACAGCACUGUGCAAACACGAAAGUGGACGUAUACGGUGUGACGCCUGCCCGGUGCCGGAAGGUUAAUUGAUGGGGUCAGCGCAAGCGAAGCUCCUGAUCGAAGCCCCGGUAAACGGCGGCCGUAACUAUAACGGUCCUAAGGUAGCGAAAUUCCUUGUCGGGUAAGUUCCGACCUGCACGAAUGGCGUAAUGAUGGCCAGGCUGUCUCCACCCGAGACUCAGUGAAAUUGAACUCGCUGUGAAGAUGCAGUGUACCCGCGGCAAGACGGAAAGACCCCGUGAACCUUUACUAUAGCUUGACACUGAACAUUGAGCCUUGAUGUGUAGGAUAGGUGGGAGGCUUUGAAGUGUGGACGCCAGUCUGCAUGGAGCCGACCUUGAAAUACCACCCUUUAAUGUUU
RNAcentral lists this ribosomal RNA (1772 nucleotides) under Salmonella enterica. Its description in RNAcentral is "partial 23S ribosomal RNA". It matches the Rfam family "Bacterial large subunit ribosomal RNA", at positions 1 to 2215 of the family's 2925-position model. The record is from RNAcentral. Lineage: Bacteria; Pseudomonadati; Pseudomonadota; Gammaproteobacteria; Enterobacterales; Enterobacteriaceae.